RNAcentral lists this ribosomal RNA (473 nucleotides) under uncultured bacterium. RNAcentral describes it as "partial 16S ribosomal RNA". It matches the Rfam family "Bacterial small subunit ribosomal RNA", at positions 28 to 507 of the family's 1533-position model. The record is from RNAcentral.
GAUGAACGCUAGCGGCAGGCCUAAUACAUGCAAGUCGAACGGGUGGUCGCAAGACCACUAGUGGCGCACGGGUGCGUAACGCGUAACCAACCUGCCCCGAUCUGGGGGAUAGCCCGCCGAAAGGCGGAUUAAUACCGCAUAUACCCGCAGCCUGGCAUCAGGCAACGGGGAAAGAUUUAUUGGAUCGGGAUGGGGUUGCGUGACAUUAGCUAGUUGGCGGGGUAAGGGCCCACCAAGGCGACGAUGUCUAGGGGACCUGAGAGGGUGAUCCCCCACACUGGCACUGGGAUACGGGCCAGACUCCUACGGGAGGCAGCAGUAGGGAAUAUUGGGCAAUGGGCGAGAGCCUGACCCAGCCAUGCCGCGUGCCGGAUGAAGGCCUUCUGGGUUGUAAACGGCUUUUCUCAGGGAAGAAAAAGACCUUGCGAGGUAAACUGACGGUACCUGAGGAAUAAGCACCGGCUAACUCCGUG